RNAcentral lists this long non-coding RNA (506 nucleotides) under Taeniopygia guttata (zebra finch). RNAcentral's name for it is "lncRNA (ENSTGUG00000023750.1)". Lineage: Eukaryota; Metazoa; Chordata; Aves; Passeriformes; Estrildidae. The record is from RNAcentral.
CACUGAGAUCCUAAGCAGUUCAGUACAGUCAUUUGCUUUAAAGGCAGCAAUUUAUUUUAAAAGAGACUAGAAGAAAAAACAGCAAGAAUUAUGCUAUGACCUGGAUGGGAUAAAUGCAUCCUGCAGCAGAAGCUGACUCCGUGAAACACAAAACAUCCUCAGGAUUUAUGCCUCAGGAAAUAACAUUUGCAUUUGAGAAUGCAAGAACAAGGAUAGCAAGGAAUUUCAAAAGUCUGAAGAAAUGUAUGUGGGCUGCAGUCUGUGGAUCCCACAGCCACUGUACAGAUCCUCCCAGCCAGCUGGUGAUUUGUGGUAGCAUGAACUUUGAUCACAAGUCAAAUGAGUUUAAUAACAUGAAGUACAGCAUGUCCAAGUAAGAGCAGAGAGCAAAGCAUUAACUUGAGCUAACGCUGACUUUCUUGGGAAAAAUUUACAACUUACAACGUCCUUCCAGAUGAAUAAAAGAAUAAAAUUUGGUGUUUAAUUUUCUGGUUUAUUUCAAAUCC